UGGGGAAUCUUGGACAAUGGGGGAAACCCUGAUCCAGCCAUGCCGCGUGAGCGAUGAAGGCCUUAGGGUUGUAAAGCUCUUUCAGCGGGGAAGAUAAUGACGGUACCCGCAGAAGAAGCCCCGGCUAACUCCGUGCCAGCAGCCGCGGUAAUACGGAGGGGGCUAGCGUUGUUCGGAAUUACUGGGCGUAAAGCGCACGUAGGCGGAUCAGCCAGUCAGGGGUGAAAGCCCGGGGCUCAACCCUGGAACUGCCCUUGAUACUGCUGGUCUGGAGUUCGAGAGAGGCGAGUGGAAUUCCGAGUGUAGAGGUGAAAUUCGUAGAUAUUCGGAGGAACACCAGUGGCGAAGGCGGCUCGCUGGCUCGACACUGACGCUGAGGUGCGAAAGCGUGGGGAGCAAACAGG
RNAcentral lists this ribosomal RNA (404 nucleotides) under uncultured bacterium. RNAcentral's name for it is "bacterial SSU rRNA". It matches the Rfam family "Bacterial small subunit ribosomal RNA", at positions 355 to 776 of the family's 1533-position model. The record is from RNAcentral.